This 86-nucleotide transfer RNA is filed under the name Escherichia coli. Its description in RNAcentral is "tRNA-Tyr(gta)". It matches the Rfam family "tRNA". Rfam says of the family: Transfer RNA (tRNA) molecules are approximately 80 nucleotides in length. Their secondary structure includes four short double-helical elements and three loops (D, anti-codon, and T loops). The record is from RNAcentral. Lineage: Bacteria; Pseudomonadati; Pseudomonadota; Gammaproteobacteria; Enterobacterales; Enterobacteriaceae.
GGUGGGGUUCCCGAGCGGCCCAAAGGGAGCAGACUGUAAAUCUGCCGUCAUCGACUUCGAAGGUUCGAAUCCUUCCCCCACCACCA